GUCUAGUUCUGGACUGAAUGGGCUCAAGUCAUCUAGUUAACCUCUCUGGAUUUCAGUCUUCUGAAAAGUGAAGCUAAGAGAUCUAGCAUUCUGCAGAAAAGUACUGGAGAUGACUCAGGACUGAAAAUGAUCAUGAAGCCCCUUUGCAAAUAUCAAAGUGGUGAUGAAGCAGUCAUGAACUUUGACCAGAAGCCGUGUUUUGUGGGAUUGCCACUUUAAUCGCUCCUGUUCAUCAUUAGGACUGCAGCCAGAGUGUGGAAGGAGGGACUCCAAAUAUAUAAGAAGAUGCUACCACACCCUGGGAGAUUGGAUUCCCCACUGCGCUGGCUUUCUCAAGCUCUGUGAAAUGUGAUGUUGGCUGGAACUUAUCAUGAAGAGCUUUGCUGUAAAACAGAUCUGGGGUAAAGUGGGUCUUAAAAAUCCUUUCUCUAUACAUCCAUGUAGAUAGAGACCAUCUCCAUUAACAGAAGAGGGAAUGAUGCCAUUCUUAUAAAGAAGCUGUACUGUGGGCACAUUUAUUCCUAAGUUGAUAGUAGCUAUUUUAACUAUGAAAAGGAUCUGCCCAGAUGAAAGAGGGGCUGCCUGUGGAGCACAGCUGGAUGGGGGAAGCAAGG
Molecule: long non-coding RNA, 614 nt
Filed under: Homo sapiens (human)
Lineage: Eukaryota; Metazoa; Chordata; Mammalia; Primates; Hominidae
Description: HSALNT0357263
Source: RNAcentral